CACAGGACACUGGACGAUCUCCGAAUAUAGACAGAGACUUUCUUAUGGAGAGUACGAAGCUUUUCACAUUCAGAGCUUCUGUGGAUUGAAUUCCACAUCCAGAAGUCAGGAUGAGAUCCACAUCCAGAAAAGUCAAGAGUCUCUGUCCCUGGCUCCGGAUCAAAUAGUAUCGUCGUAUUGGGGAACAGCCCGAAUAAAUCCUGUCGAUCAGAAGUAUCAGGACCUACGCUUUCCUAAGAGACUGGCAGAUGCGCAGCGCGAAUUAUACGGUGGAUAGUAACGACAGGAUCGCCGCGGGAUAUCCGCAUUACGUUCUGGCCACGUAACCCUCGUUAAGGGGCUUCUUAAUGGGGGACAGAAACGGCCACCCCGUAUUGCUCGCCGAUAGUUUACCAAAGACUAUUAACUAACCAAGCACGACAACCUGCUACCGCAAGCUAAUCCGCUUUUCAAUGCCGGUAAUUAAUUGCCUGUAUCCAGUCUUUAUGAAAGCAAUUUUCAGUAGCUUUUAUAAAUCCGGGAGUCUUCGGGAAUCAACUAACAUGAUGUAACGGUAAUUGGUCAAUCAUGGAGUGCUGUUGAAACAAUGCUGCGCUCUAAUAAUAGAGGACGAUCGGAUAACUAUGCCGCGUCAUCAUCUUCAUCUUCCUCUGUGGUUAUCGCGGUUACAAAGGUGAGGCA
Molecule: long non-coding RNA, 681 nt
Organism: Acromyrmex echinatior (Panamanian leafcutter ant)
Lineage: Eukaryota; Metazoa; Arthropoda; Insecta; Hymenoptera; Formicidae
Source: RefSeq, a predicted model, not a curated record